Molecule: transfer RNA, 73 nt
Filed under: Trypanosoma brucei brucei TREU927
Lineage: Eukaryota; Euglenozoa; Kinetoplastea; Trypanosomatida; Trypanosomatidae
Also listed under: 1 other name
Description: tRNA-Tyr (GTA) (tRNA-Tyr-GTA-1-1)
Rfam family: tRNA
About the family: Transfer RNA (tRNA) molecules are approximately 80 nucleotides in length.
Source: RNAcentral
CCUUCUGUAGCUCAAUUGGUAGAGCAUGUGACUGUAGAUCACAGGGUCGCUGGUUCGAUUCCGGCCGGAAGGA